UUGUUCAGGAGGUUGUUGAUAGAAAUAUAGUUGGAGAUAAUGAUGUUACACCCACAGAUUGUGUUCCAAUUGGAUAUGCAAUUGAUUAACUACAAAUAACUACAAUUAACUACAAAAUUGAUAUAACUACAAAUAUUGUAAUUAAUUGCUUAGCUUUCAUGAAUAUGAACUACAAUGUUUUGUCUUUAUCUACAACCUUUUGUCUUUAUCUAUUAUG
Molecule: long non-coding RNA, 217 nt
Filed under: Nicotiana benthamiana
Lineage: Eukaryota; Viridiplantae; Streptophyta; Magnoliopsida; Solanales; Solanaceae
Description: long non-coding RNA (NBEN_LNC027388)
Source: RNAcentral